GGAAACCCUAAUGGGGCGAGGCGCUUUUUAAAGGGGGAGCGGGGGCAUCGCAGAGUCUCGCCCCAACAUUCAAGAGCUUCCGCAACUUCUUCCCGGAGCUCACUGCGAGCGUUCGAGCGACGCUCUUCGUGAGUAUAAUUCUUUCUCUCCUUCCGUCGGAAUAUUCUCUGCGACUUCCUGCCAUUUGCAUCCAUCACAUCUCCCCAGAGGCUGGGGCUUAUUCAUCUCCUUUUUGUCUGCGUUGUGGAUUGUUGGUUUCUAAUAGAUUUUGCGUUGUACUUUCUUCCGGAUCCCUUGUUUUCCUGUUUCUUCGUACAUGAGGCUUGGAUCUUUCAGAUCUUGGGACUGAUAGAUGAUAGAUGUUUCGUCGUGGUAUUUUUCAUCGGACUACCCCGUCUGGGAUCCCGAGCGUCGUUUCAUCCGUCGUUUUGAAACGCCGUCCUCCCAGUUUUUUAAUCUUUAUAUUGCAAAUCGCCAAAGCUUCUCGAAGGUGAUCAGUUUUGUGUGCUCAGAUUUUGCAGUUUGUGGAUGUCAUCCCUUGAAUCAUUCAUUCAUUUACUAAAGGAGAUGAUAGGGUAAUAAUAAUCGAUUAUGUACCUUACAAAUGCUGUCGAUGAGCGUCGAGGAGUACGGAGUCUAUUGCUAACAAGCUUUUAGAAUCCGAUUUUCUUUUAUCCAAUUUUUGGUGCACUUCUACUCAAUAUCACAUGGUUUCCAUAUAAAAAUUGAAAUAGAUUCCCGUUGAAAAUUUAUGCUCGAAAUAUGGUUAUAGUUUCUUAUAAUACUGUGACAUUUCUCGAAAUAUGCCACCUUUUAAAAUUUUUGGGUGAUAUAAACUGGAAUUAAGUUGCUCACAAUACCUAUUUCCCUUGUAAAUCGACAGGUUCAGUUUUAAGCAGCGAUCAUGGGCAAAGAGAAGGUUCNN
This 925-nucleotide long non-coding RNA is filed under the name Spirodela polyrhiza (greater duckweed). RNAcentral's name for it is "long non-coding RNA (SPOL_LNC001766)". Lineage: Eukaryota; Viridiplantae; Streptophyta; Magnoliopsida; Alismatales; Araceae. The record is from RNAcentral.